CAGUCGCCGCGGGAAAACGAAGGGGGCUAGCGUUGUUCGGAAUUACUGGGCGUAAAGCGCACGUAGGCGGAUAUUUAAGUCAGGGGUGAAAUCCCGCAGCUCAACUGCGGAACUGCCUUUGAUACUGGGUAUCUUGAGUAUGGAAGAGGUUAGUGGAAUUGCGAGUGUAGAGGUGAAAUUCGUAGAUAUUCGCAGGAACACCAGUGGCGAAGGCGGCUAACUGGUCCAUAACUGACGCUGAGGUGCGAAAGCGUGGGGAGCAAACAGGAUUAGAUACCCCUGUAGUCCCUGUCUCUUAUAC
RNAcentral lists this ribosomal RNA (301 nucleotides) under uncultured bacterium. RNAcentral's name for it is "partial 16S ribosomal RNA". It matches the Rfam family "Bacterial small subunit ribosomal RNA", at positions 509 to 807 of the family's 1533-position model. The record is from RNAcentral.